GAUGAACGCUGACAGAAUGCUUAACACAUGCAAGUCAACUGUGGCGGACGGGUGAGUAACGCGUAAAGAACUUGCCUCACAGUUAGGGACAACAUUUGGAAACGAAUGCUAAUACCUGAUACUGUGAGAGAGCUUUGCGUCCCAUUAGCUAGUUGGAGAGGUAACGGCUCACCAAGGCGAUGAUGGGUAGCCGGACUGAGAGGGUGAUCGGCCACAAGGGGACUGGGACACGGGCCGUACUCCUACGGGAGGCAGCAGUGAUGAAUAUUGGACGAUGGCCCAAAGUCUGAUCCAGCAAUUCGGUGUGCACGAUGAAGUUUUCGGAAAGUAAAGUGCUCUCAGUUGUGAAGCGGUACCAACAGAAGAAGUGACGGCUAACUCCGUGCCAGCAGCCGCGGUAAUAC
Molecule: ribosomal RNA, 404 nt
Filed under: uncultured bacterium
Lineage: Bacteria
Description: partial 16S ribosomal RNA
Rfam family: Bacterial small subunit ribosomal RNA
Source: RNAcentral